AACAAUGUCACGGAGUUUAAAAAGCUGGCUCCACCAACUUUCAAGGGGACCACUGAAUCUGUGGAAGCUAACAAUUGAUUAUGGAGGUGGAGAAGGUAUUUGCUAUUCAAGUAUCUCGCGAUAAUAAAAAGAUCCGUUAUACAGCACAUUUGUUAUGAGAUGAAGCAUACAACUGGUGGUGGAUAUUAAAAUAGAAAUAUAAACAAGAUGGAGAAUCACUCUUCAAAGUGUGAGAACAU
RNAcentral lists this long non-coding RNA (239 nucleotides) under Elaeis guineensis (African oil palm). Its description in RNAcentral is "long non-coding RNA (EGUI_LNC055682)". The record is from RNAcentral. Lineage: Eukaryota; Viridiplantae; Streptophyta; Magnoliopsida; Arecales; Arecaceae.